Molecule: ribosomal RNA, 465 nt
Filed under: uncultured bacterium
Lineage: Bacteria
Description: bacterial SSU rRNA
Rfam family: Bacterial small subunit ribosomal RNA
Source: RNAcentral
UUCCAGACUCCUACGGGAGGCAGCAGUGAGGAAUAUUGGUCAAUGGCCGUAAGGCUGAACCAGCCAAGUAGCGUGAGGGAAGACUGCCCUAUGGGUUGUAAACCUCUUUUAUGCGGGGAUAAAGGUGUCCACGUGUGGAUGUUUGCAGGUACCGCAUGAAUAAGGACCGGCUAAUUCCGUGCCAGCAGCCGCGGUAAUACGGAAGGUCCGGGCGUUAUCCGGAUUUAUUGGGUUUAAAGGGUGCGUAGGCGGACUGUCAAGUCAGCGGUAAAAUUGCGGGGCUCAACCUCGUCGAGCCGUUGAAACUGGGUGCCUUGAGUGGGCGAGAAGUACGCGGAAUGCGUGGUGUAGCGGUGAAAUGCAUAGAUAUCACGCAGAACUCCGAUUGCGAAGGCAGCAUACCGGCGCUCAACUGACGCUCAUGCACGAAAGUGUGGGUAUCGAACAGGAUUAGAUACCCGGGUA